AAAUGACAAUAAACAAUUUUCAAACUUACUGAAAACAAUGUUUAACCUUGUCAUUCGAAUAUUUUGCACUCGCAUAGUGCUGUAAGUGCUUAAAAACGAGGAUGAGCAACAUUUCUUUGCCAACGAUGUCAGUCAACUGCACAAUCUAAGGAACAGAUUGAGAUGGAAACAGGGAAUUAACAUAUAUGGCAGAUGUCACCAGUGCAAUACUGUUACAGAAAUUACUGGUGAUAUCAUCCUCAGUUUCAUCUCUCUUUGUGGUAAUUAUCAUGUGCUAACAUCUUCAAAGCCUGAAAUAGCAUUGUGAAAUCAACUGUCCAGUUCUUAACACAUGCUUACAAAACAGAUUGACUUCACCAGUCUAAUAUACUUGUAGGAGAACAUCAAGAUGUCAAUGACACCGUGAAAGUGAAAGAAAUGAGACUGUGUAAUAAAUUUGUUCCAAGUUCCUGAUUUUUAAAACUUUUAUCAUGACAUUAGGAGUUCUUACAACCAGAAAGAGAUGUAUUUUCAAGUAUCUGCCACUUUCAGCUUGGUUUUAACAAAGUAUAUUACAUUGAACAUGUAGUAACCAUAGAUAUAAAUAUCUCACUAAUUCAAAAAUCAAUUUUGACUUCGUACUGCACAUGCACCAGACCAUGCUACAAACACAAGACUUAGAUUAUUGAAAAAAAUUGUAUUUAUGUAAUACUUUUAUCUCUAUUUCUUUAUGUAAGUAGUCACCUGGCUUCGCAACAUAAAUUAUUGUUACUUACAUCCACUUGACAUUCUGAUUUUGUUUCCAUUUUAAGAAAGGCAGUGUGUUAUGUUUUGGAUAAGAUUUGUCAAUCCUUGUUUUUGAAUUCCUUAAGUUUAAAUUUCAUUGUCAGUAAGUAUACUUGUAUGAUUGUUUUUUGAUUUCACAUUUUAAAGUGUUUUUAAUUUGACAAAAGUAUUUAACUUUUAGCCACUUAGAUGUAAACAUUUCUUCGUUAACUUGUGCACUUUUUUAAGCAGUAGCUGUUAAAACAGUCAGUUACAACAGAUAUGGAAUAUGUCAUACUUCUUAAUAUAGGAAUAGAUGCUUACUGCAACCAUGUAAAUCUUCAGUAGUGGACAUAUAAUCUCAUUAGAAUACAGUGAAACCAGUAUUAUAGAUAAACAACAUUUUAAUUCUGCACUUGUACUUUAAACAGAAUAUCAAACAUGUAUAAAACACACUUUAAUGUUGACUUAUUGUGCCUUUCAGUAAGUUAUGCAACUAAGAUUAAAAAAAAGAUAUCGGAAGACCAUUACUAAAUCAGGCUACCUUAAAAACAGAGAAUUCACUGUGGAAAUAUAUACAUUUAAAGAAUGUCUUGUAUGUUUAUGCGAGUAUAAACCACUUUGAAACUUCUGACCAAACCAUGAUUGGUAUUAGCAGUUGAUCGUGAUUUGCCAUAAGUGCCAAUAUGGUUUAUACCCUUAUGAACUACCAAGAACAUUGAAGUCAUUCAUUACAUGUACAAUAUUACAGAGGUACCUACAAUUAGUAUUCUUACACAACCUGUCUCGUAUACUUAUUCCGGAAACAAAGACAGAUGAAAACUGUGUGUUACUAUACAACGAUUCAUUUUUUUUUUUGACAUCAUAUUAAGUGUAAUCGUCAAACAACAUAACUGCCCACUGGAAAAGAAACCAAAAGAAAACAGGCAAAUAUUUAAUAAAUGUUGUUAAGGCUGUACUUUAACAGGUAACAUGUUCAUAUUCUUAAGAAAUGAAAUAUCUCAUCCAGUGAUUUGUCAUUGAAUAAAAUCAUUGUUUGGAGUUCAGAUGCGAAGGAAUUUGAUCAGGAGUGCACAGCUAGAGUGAUAAUACACAUCUGAACAACAAACAUGGUCUGUCCUGGCCAACAGUUGUCUGUAGCCAAAUGAAGAAAAAGUUGUUAAAAUCCUACAAAAUAUGUAUAAAACUGCAAAAUGGACCAUCAAUUUGGUAUCAAAAGUUGAUUCUAUAAUAUUAGUAAUUGGCUACUAUGGCUAAUGGCAUUGAAGGCCCUAGACAAUGAUUUUAUUCAAGAGCAAAUCACUAAAUGAGAUAUAUUAUUUUGUUUAACACGUUACCAAGUAUAUCCUUGAAGGUGUCUUAUCAAAUAGUUGCCUGUUUUGCCUGGUUGGUUUCUUUUCUAAGCACUGCUAUGCCAUUUGACACUAUGACGUAAUAAUUGUGACGUCAGAACAGAACAGUGAAUUGUUGUAAAAUAACACACAUCUUCAGCCUUUGUUUAAUAGCAAAACAAUCGGUUCGGUUUAGAAUACUGAGUAAAUUCAGUGCUUGGAGUUCAGAUUUGUAUUAUUAUAUGAAUUCUGCAAAUCCAAACUCCAAACAAAGAUUUUAUUCUGCGACAUAUCACAAAAUGACAGGAGAUUAUAAGAUUCAUCCACUGGUUGUAGGUGUGAUGGGAAUUUCCGGACUCGAGGGUAACUGUUUAAGUGGUAACAAGGCUCAAAGCCGAGUAAACGCCUAAACAGUUACCAGACCAGAGAGCCAGAAAAUCCGAUCUGCACCUAUAACCAGUGACAGAAUCUUUUUCUUGCAUACCGAUUUAAAGACAUAAUAAUAAAAAUAAAAUUAAUAUAUUAUAAAUUACUACAUAAUUCUUCUACAUUAUAUGUAGUUUGUAAUACGUCAUUUACAGCACGAGAGUCAUCUUACACCCCAGACUCUUACACCCCGGGGUGUAAGAUGGAUUUUCCAGCACCGGUAAUAUUACUGAAAAUCCCCGUCUGGUAUGCAAGAAAUGUUUAAGAUAUGAAAUGAUUUUUUUUUUUGUAGUUCAUGCAAAAUGAAUGACAGAAUAGGAUUGGCAAAUCCAUGAAUUGCGCUAGUGAUUCCUUUUUUAUUUGCUGAUCCUAUUCUGUCAAUCAGUUUGCAUGAACACCAAAAAUAAUAGCUUCAUUUCUUAUAUUUACAUUAUAUUUCCUUGACAUUUGUAAACUAUAUAAUAGUCUGCUUGUAGGCAGGGAAAACAUUUCUUAGAUGACGUCGCAGUUAUUCUGUGUGAUGAACAUAAGGCCGGGAAGCUGAUUUUAAUGAUAAAUGCUACAAAUUAUGUGCAGUUUGUUAUAUAAUCUCGUUUAGAAAUAGAAAGGAAUCAUAUGUCUCAGAAAGAGCGGGGGAUACUAUGUGACCACCCUUGGGGCUAGCGUUCUGAAGCCAUGUUCGCUCUCAAAAUACGUCAGACAGUUUUCAUUUGGUCAUACCAAACUUGCUGACAAUGUUUGUUGGCAUAAUAUCUCAGCCAAGUUCGAUAACCAGCCAAAUCACCCCAGGCACUCUUGAAUUAAGGCCUUUGAAUUACUUGAGAGAAAAAAAAAGUGAAUUAAGCCUUGAUCUGAUCAACACCAAACGUGAUGACAAUUUUUGUGGUCAUAAUAUCUUGGUCAAUUUGAUAAACACCCAGAUCGCCUCAAGUACUGUUGGAUUAUGGCCCUUGAAUUAGGCCAAGUUCGAUGACAGGCGUAUUUUGUGACAGUCUUGCACUCUUGUUUUUUAAGAUACAGCCUUGAAAUUAGGAUGAUAUGUACAGUUUGCACACCUUACUUAAAACUGACUUUCAGAGACCACAAAUAUGACCUACUGAGCUACUUUCUUAACAUUAAAAUCAGCUUACCAGCCAUUCUGUUCAACACAUGGAAUAACUGCAUUGUCAUCUAAGGAACAUUCUCACUGACUAUAUGCGGACAUCGUCAAAACAGCAGUCGGUUAUCACUAAGCAGCGAUGAUGUAAAAUCGCGCCUCUCCUUUAGAUGUUCGUACAAAAUGAAUGUCAUAAUUUUUAUUCUAAUAUGCCUGUCUCUGUUAAAACACUCUAAUGCUGGAAUGAUGUCGCGUUAACGUGCGGUGACGUCAAAGAUUUCAUUGAGACCAGGAAAGAGCGCUUCUGAAUUUUAUCUACUUUUUUCGAUUAAGUGCAUAUUAGAAUCAAAAUAAAUUAUAGCAAAAGAGUGAUUUAACACUAAUUAUGCUCUUUGGCAGUAAUAAGUCGUACAAAUAAUUUUACUUGUGCUGCCCUGUUGUGGUAUUAUUAUGCCCAAGGAAUAUAAUCGUGCAUAAAUAGUGAUAAAACACUCUUUUGUUAUAAUUUAUUUCUUAAAUGGAAAAGAAUAGGGCAAAUGUAAAUAUCACUACUUCUUUAACUGAAGCCAAGCAUAUUUACUGCCAAAAUAUUUUUACUAACAUUUAAAAAUUAACCCUUAGCCUGCUAAAUUUCUAAGAUGGACUGGUCAGUCAUUCAAAUUGGGCCAUACUACUUAUUAGUCAAAGGGGUGUUAAAUGAAAAUUUACUGACUGGAUAUAGAACAGUGCAGAUCAUGAUCAAACUGUAUAGAUGUGCAGGCUUGGUCUGCACUGGUCGCAAAGGCAAAAUCACUUGGCACCAGCAGGCUAAAGGUUAAAACAUUCAAAUUUGAAUGCCUUCUUGUGAUUUAUUGUCUUAUUUAUCACAGUUCAUUGUUCAAAUGCUUAGAUAUUAAACUACUCAGGCUAAAGCCAUUUUGGUUCAUUUCGUUCGCAUAUGAACUCUGAAACGUGAUAAAUUACAUCACUUGUGUAAAGAUACUUGAUGUAGAUGAACAAAUAGUGCAAUGAAUUGGCAAUAUUUUCAUGUUUUCAGUUUUAAGAUAUUACAUACAUGACAUGUUGCAUUAUUUACUGAAUGAUCUGCAUUUAAUAUGUUGAAAAUUGUAAUAGUAUUACAUUCACUACAAUGUAAUGAUUAUAUAACUCAUACAUUUGGAUUUUAAGGAUUUUUUUUCCAGUUUUGAUCACUCUACCUCUUCUGAUGCUUUGACACAUUAAUAUUGUCUUUCUGUACCAUUCUCUUUUUACCUCAGGAAAUUAUUAUACUGGUCAUUUCAAGGAAAAUAUAUAAAUGUUGUUUUGCAUGCAGAUCAAAGACAUCCUUGUCAUCCAUUUGAAGACAUAUACAUAUAGCAUGAAAACUAUUCAAGUUAUCUACCUUUACAAAUAAAUUUAUAUUUUUAGCACCAUUUUAACUUUAGUGAUAACAUAGUUUAAUUGUAACAGCAUUUGAGAUUGAGCUUUGUUAAUAUGCAUUAACAAUUGAUAAUACAUUCCUACAUCUUAGUAAUUAGUUAGGUACAUCUGUUGUAAAUUGACAGCAGUUAAUGAAACUGUUAACAUGUAAAACUGGACAAUUUCAUAUUGUCAAGUUUUGUGAGCUUCACUGGUUAUUCCUGUAAAACCAUUUGUUAGGGUAGUCAGUACAUAAUUUAAAGUUGAAUAGCAACACUGACACCUUUAAUCUUAUCAAAAUAAUUAUCUGUUGUUAAUGAUAUAUAAAACCAUAUUUUAAGCUGUUACUUGAACAAUAUGUAGUAAAAUGAUUUGUAACGCUAUACAACUUAGUUAGUGAUUACUUAUAAUUUAGUGCCUAAGUGUAUUUAGUUUAUAGUAGAUUUGUAACCCAUUCAAAUACUUGUCAAUACUAUUUAUAUGAUGGUUUGAAGUAUUUGAUUUCUAGCUACAUUAACUGAAGUUAGUGAAAAUAUUUGUCCUUUAAGGUUUUGUUUUAAAGUAUGAUGAUUUAAAGCAGUCACUGUUACAAUUCACAUGUAACUCAUAUUACAUUAUCACAACACUUCCACUUCCAUUACAGAUUUAACUUUAAGUGUUAAAAGUAAUUCAUUUAUUAAACUGUGCUAAAGCAGUGAAUUGAAAAAAUAUAUUUAAAUCUUAAUACUUGAAACAAUGAAGACUCCUAAAGGAUUUGAAAGCAAAGGUUUCUUUAGUACACUAUCUCGAGUAACAACAAAAAUUUGUCUCUUCCUCACAAACAUUUGAAUACUCUGAUUCUUUCCAUAAAUACACAUCAACAAAAAUAUCAUUUUGACAAUAUUUACAAUACUUUACAAUAUUUUCUUUCCUUCAAGACAUUUUCUUCAUUGAUUAUCACAGUUUACAGUUGAGUCGUGUCCCAUUAGUACCAUUUGCAGCUACUUCUAAAUGGGUUAUAUGGAAUGCCUACACUAUUUCUACAUGAUGAUUAUUAUUCUGUCUUGUGCAUUUUCUCAUAUAUCAGGUUGAAUUUAUGAUUUGUCUUGUAGAUGAAAAAAGUUUUUAAUGUAGAACUGAUUUAUAGCAAAAUAGUGCUUUAACAUUAUAUGCACGAUAGGUGGUUACACGCCGGGCGUAAUAAUUCCAUGAGGGCGAUGCCGGAGUGAAAUUAUUUGUACGUUGUAUUACUGCCAGAGUGUAUAAGUAGUGUUAAAACAGGGUUUUAUUUAAGAAAUAAUAAGUUCCAAAGUUUGGUUUAUCGUAGAAUAACCCGUGUUUUGAGUUCUUAUGCAUAAGAAUAUAUCUGAGUGAUAUUUUGUUUCGCAUUAGAAUGAAAAACUAGGGUUAUUCUACAAUAAAUCAGACUUGGGAACUUUUUAUUUCGAUUCUAACACGACAUACUAGUAUCAACAGUAUUAGAAAUAUGGUAAAUACUUUUUAUGACCAUGCUAUGCACCUGGAUCGGAUGACGUCAUUGCACGCAUUUGGUUUAUUGCAGAAUAACCCGAGAUAGAUUUUGCUCAACAUGUAUGUAGGUUAUUCACUGGUUGUGUUAGAAAGUAUUUCAGUUCUAAUAUGUCUUUUAUCUAAAACUGUAGAUAAAAUAUAGUAGUGCUGUUUUUUUUUGGUUGCAACAAAUAGUUUGGCAUUACCGCACAUGAAACUGACGUCAUUCUAGCGUAAGCAAGUUUUAACAGAGUCAGACAUAUUAGAAUGUAAUUUACAAGUUUGUCCAUGAUAUUUCCAAGUUUGUGUUGUGCAUUCUUAAGGUUUCCGGUAGUAUAGUCAGAUAUUUUUCAAAAUUUGCUUUUAUUUUGUAAAGUCUGUAGUUUUUGCCCUUCAACGAGAUACUUAUCUUAUUAUUCCAAUCUUGGAAAGACUGGUCCAAUAGUAUUCUUUUAAUUGUAGUAUGUAAAUUACGUAAAUCUAGUAAACUUUGAUUAAUCCAAAUAAAAGUGUUUCCUGUAGAAUCUAAAAUAUUCUUGACACAGUCUAGCCAUUUAUUACUUGAAGUUGAAUUAAGCAUGUUUUCAUAGCAGAUUCUAUUCAAUUUUGAACUGCUGCUACUCAAUACUUUGGCCCAAUAUCUAACGACUCUAACUUUGAUUACAAUAUCUAAUGGGUAAUAAAAAAUGAACACAACAAACUAAUGAUUGUGCAGCACAAACUAGUGAAUAUACAGGACCAGCUGGUAAAUGUACAUAACAAACUGCUUUAUCUACAAGAAA
Molecule: long non-coding RNA, 7265 nt
Organism: Mercenaria mercenaria
Lineage: Eukaryota; Metazoa; Mollusca; Bivalvia; Venerida; Veneridae
Exons: 3
Source: RefSeq, a predicted model, not a curated record